This 490-nucleotide ribosomal RNA is filed under the name uncultured bacterium. Its description in RNAcentral is "partial 16S ribosomal RNA". It matches the Rfam family "Bacterial small subunit ribosomal RNA", at positions 30 to 507 of the family's 1533-position model. The record is from RNAcentral.
AUUGAACGCUGGCGGCAGGCCUAACACAUGCAAGUCGAACGGUAACGGGAAGCAGCUUGCUGCUUCGCUGACGAGUGGCGGACGGGUGAGUAAUGUCUGGGAAGCUGCCUGAUGGAGGGGGAUAACUACUGGAAACGGUAGCUAAUACCGCAUAAUGUCGCAAGACCAAAGAGGGGGACCUUCGGGCCUCUUGCCAUCGGAUGUGCCCAGAUGGGAUUAGCUUGUUGGUGGGGUAACGGCUCACCAAGGCGACGAUCCCUAGCUGGUCUGAGAGGAUGGCUAGCCACACUGGGACUGAGACACGGUCCAGACUCCUACGGGAGGCAGCAGUGGGGAAUAUUGCACAAUGGGCGCAAGCCUGAUGCAGCCAUGCCGCGUGUAUGAAGAAGGCCUUCGGGUUGUAAAGUACUUUCAGCGGGGAGGAAGGGAGUAAAGUUAAUACCUUUGCUCAUUGACGUUACCCGCAGAAGAAGCACCGGCUAACUCCGUG